GAUGAACGCUAGCUACAGGCUUAACACAUGCAAAUCGCGGGGCAGCAUGGGGGUUGCUUGCAAUCCCCGAUGGCGACCGGCGCACGGGUGAGUAACGCGUAUCCAACCUGCCCUUCACCACGGGAUAACCCGGCGAAAGUCGGACUAAUACCGUAUGUUGUCCAUUGACGGCAUCCGAUUUGGACGAAAGGCUUGGCGGUGAGGGAUGGGGAUGCGUCCGAUUAGCCAGACGGCGGGGUAACGGCCCACCGUGGCUACGAUCGGUAGGGGUUCUGAGAGGAAGGUCCCCCACACUGGAACUGAGACACGGUCCAGACUCCUACGGGAGGCAGCAGUGAGGAAUAUUGGUCAAUGGGCGUAAGCCUGAACCAGCCAAGUAGCGUGCAGGAGGACGGCCCUAUGGGUUGUAAACUGCUUUUAUGCGGGGAUAAAGUGGCCCACGUGUGGGCUUUUGCAGGUACCGCAUGAAUAAGGACCGGCUAAUUCCGUG
RNAcentral lists this ribosomal RNA (490 nucleotides) under uncultured bacterium. RNAcentral describes it as "partial 16S ribosomal RNA". It matches the Rfam family "Bacterial small subunit ribosomal RNA", at positions 28 to 507 of the family's 1533-position model. The record is from RNAcentral.